GACAGAGGGUGCAAACGUUGUUCGGAAUACUGGGCGUAAAGCGUGUGUAGGCGGUCUCAUAAGUCGGGUGUGAAAGCCCAGGGCUCAACCCUGGAAGUGCACUCGAAACUGCGAGGCUUGAGUACCGGAGAGGUUGGUGGAAUUCUCGGUGUAGAGGUGAAAUUCGUAGAUAUCGAGAGGAACACCGGUGGCGAAGGCGGCCAACUGGACGAGUACUGACGCUGAGACACGAAAGCGUGGGGAGCAAACAGG
This 252-nucleotide ribosomal RNA is filed under the name uncultured bacterium. Its description in RNAcentral is "partial 16S ribosomal RNA". It matches the Rfam family "Bacterial small subunit ribosomal RNA", at positions 524 to 776 of the family's 1533-position model. The record is from RNAcentral.